Molecule: small RNA, 52 nt
Filed under: Sinorhizobium meliloti 2011
Lineage: Bacteria; Pseudomonadati; Pseudomonadota; Alphaproteobacteria; Hyphomicrobiales; Rhizobiaceae
Description: putative ncRNA
Source: RNAcentral
GUUCCUUGACCUCGAGCAGCGCUUCUGCCGUCACGAGGCGCGGAUCGGACGU